Molecule: ribosomal RNA, 1467 nt
Filed under: metagenome
Description: bacterial LSU rRNA
Rfam family: Bacterial large subunit ribosomal RNA
Source: RNAcentral
AAAAAAGCGUAGUCGAUGGAUAGCAGGUCAACAUUCCUGCACUCUGUUGGAAGGUUGAAGCGACGUGACGAAUCCCAAAGUUCAUGCGGCCGACUAGUCGUGGCCGUUGCCGCAAGGCUAACAGCCUGGAUCUGGAUGAUGGAUAGCGGGGUUUCAAGAAAUAGCGUUCGUGGACGACCAAUAGAUCCGUACUAAAACUGACACAGGUAGGCGUGGUGGAUAACCUCAGGCGCUCGAGAGAACGGUUGUGAAGGAACUAGGCAAAUUGACCCCGUAAGUUCGCAAUAAGGGGGCCCUCCUCCCGCAAGGGAAAGGGCGCAGAGAAAAGGCUCUGGGAACUGUUUAUCAAAAACACAGGACUGUGCCAACUCGCAAGAGGAUGUAUACAGUCUGACGCCUGCUCGAUGCUGGAAUUCACAGAAGCCGGUUAGCCGCAAGGCGAAGCUGGCGACUCAAGCACCAGUCAAUGGCGGCCGUAACUAUGACGGUCCUAAGGUAGCGAAGUUCCUUGUCGGGUAAGUUCCGACGCGCAUGAAUGGCGUAAUCACUGGAGCACUGUCUCCACAACCGACUCGGUGAAAUAUAAGACGCGGUGGAGAUACCGUGUACCCGCAGCAAGACGGAAAGACCCCGUGGACCUUCACUGUAGGCUGGUAUUGGCCACGAGCAUGUUCUGCGUAGGAUAGGUGGGAGGCUUUGAGAGCCCGGUUCCGGCCGGGAUGGAGCCAACGUUGAAAUACCACCCUGAAUAUACUUGUGACCUAACUUGGUUCCGUGAAUCCGGGCCAAGGACCGUGCUAGUUGGGCAGUUUGACUGGGGCGGUCUCCUCCCAAAAGGUAACGGAGGAGUGCAAAGGUCGGCUCAACACGGUUGGAAACCGUGUGUCGAGUAUAAGAGCAUAAGCCGGCUUUACUGCGAGACGUACUUGUCGAGCAGUUACGAAAGUAGGCUCUAGUGAUCCGGCGGUUCCGUGUGGAAGGGCCGUCGCUCAACGGAUAAAAGGUACCCCGGGGAUAACAGGCUGAUCGCUCCUGAGCGUCCAUAGCGGCGGAGCGGUUUGGCACCUCGAUGUCGGCUCAUCACAUCCUGGGGCUGAAGGCGGUCCCAAGGGUUGGGCUGUUCGCCCAUUAAAGUGGUACGUGAGCUGGGUUCAGACCGGCGUGAGCCAGGUCGGUCCCUAUCUGCUGUGGGCGUAGCAAUUUUGAGAGGAAUCUUCCCUAGUACGAGAGGAUUAGGAAGGACGUACCCCUGGUGCGCCAGUUGCAUCGCUAGAUGCACAGCUGGGUAGCUAAGUACGGCAGGGAUAACCGCUGAAAGCAUAUAAGCGGGAAGCCCCCCUCAAGAUCAGAAUUGCGUGCGUCGCAAGACGUGAGAGACCCCCGGAAGACCACCGGGUUGAUAGGCGGCAGCUGUACGGGUUGAAAAACCCUCAGGCGAGCCGUACUAACGGUCGAUCGCUUGUUCAC